This 1183-nucleotide long non-coding RNA is filed under the name Sarcophilus harrisii (Tasmanian devil). RNAcentral's name for it is "lncRNA (ENSSHAG00000030533.1)". The record is from RNAcentral. Lineage: Eukaryota; Metazoa; Chordata; Mammalia; Dasyuromorphia; Dasyuridae.
AAUACUGAAUACUUUUAUUUAUUAAGCACUGCUAAGCACAAGGAAUUUUCAGCAUGCCAAGAAGGGCAAAGUGAAAAUUACAAUAACUCUCCUAACUAAAACAAGGUCAAUCUUAGUAUAAAAAGCAUAACUAAUCGGCCAGAUUUUGCAUUUUUAGUUCCAUAUUUGCAUUUAGCUUUCACAUAGUACUUUUUAUUUUCAAAAUAGUUUAAAACAUUUAUUAAUCCUCACAACACCCCUGUGAGGUAGGCAAAUUUAUCUUAUAGCUGGAGAAAUUGAGGCAGAGUUAAGUAACAUGCCCAAGGCCACCAAGGCAGUAAGUGAAGUUGUAUUUAAAAUCCAGAAGCUAUGGUCCUUCUCCCCCAUUAAUGCAUUUCAUCAGAGAAGUUACAUAAAGGACCAAAACCAGGUACUCUUAGCCCACAACAACUAAGAAGAGGAUGACAACAAUAACAACAAAGGAACAGCUUAAAUGCUAUCAUGGAUAUUUAAGAAAGUUAGAAAACAUUUUACUAGAAACAACAGUUAGGCAACAGAACAUAUAGAAAUAGAUUGUGGAAUCACCAGCACUGGAAAUAUGAGACAGAUUAAGCAUUCAUCAGGAAUGGUUUAGGAAAAUGUAAACAAACCUGCUACAAAUGCAGGGAAAGUAAACUAGCCAACUCAUAAAAGGUUUAUUCCUAACCCCAAAUGACUAUGCUUUUAAAGGAAAGAAUGGUUAGAAAAAGUUAAAAAGAAAAAAAUCAAACUGAACUCAAUGUAACUUCAAACCAGUAAACAUACUAAUAGUCAUUCACAUUAUAAACAUCAAAACCAAUUUUAAUUUGUGACCAAACUAAUAUGGUUUCUAUAUACUGAUUUUCAACCAAAUCUACCAAAUAUUUUCUUAUUAAAUCAAACUAUAAGUUGGGGAAUCAAGCACCAGGCAGUUCGAUAACAUAAACCAUAUAGCUAGCUCAAUGACUAAACCCAAAUCUAGGCUCUGUAAUUCCCAAUGUCAAUUUUGUGCUUACAUAUUUUAUAAGUACAUAUUUAAAUCAAUUAUCCAAAUUCCAUCUAUGUGUUUCAAGAGCAGAGGUGUACCUUAUUUAUUUAUUUUUGCAAAGGAACUGGUGUGCUUGGUGCAAUAUAUCACUUUAAAGUGAUUUAAAGAUAUUUAAAACUGAACCUGUAUUUUAAAGCC